GAUGAACGCUGGCGGCGUGCUUAACACAUGCAAGUCGAACGGAAAGGCUCCUGCUUGCAGGGGUACUCGAGUGGCGAACGGGUGAGUAACACGUGGGUGAUCUGCCCUGCACUUCGGGAUAAGCCUGGGAAACUGGGUCUAAUACCGGAUAGGACGAUGGUUUGGAUGCCAUUGUGGAAAGUUUUUUCGGUGUGGGAUGAGCUCGCGGCCUAUCAGCUUGUUGGUGGGGUAAUGGCCUACCAAGGCGUCGACGGGUAGCCGGCCUGAGAGGGUGUACGGCCACAUUGGGACUGAGAUACGGCCCAGACUCCUACGGGAGGCAGCAGUGGGGAAUAUUGCACAAUGGGCGCAAGCCUGAUGCAGCGACGCCGCGUGGGGGAUGACGGCCUUCGGGUGGUAAACUCCUUUCGCUAGGGACGAAGCGCAAGUGACGGGACCUGGAGAAGAAGCACCGGCUAACUACGU
RNAcentral lists this ribosomal RNA (465 nucleotides) under uncultured bacterium. Its description in RNAcentral is "partial 16S ribosomal RNA". It matches the Rfam family "Bacterial small subunit ribosomal RNA", at positions 28 to 506 of the family's 1533-position model. The record is from RNAcentral.